UGAUCUUGUUGGAAAGGUUGAAAGAAACAUCCCUGAAGAUGACCCUAGAAAUCCUAUUGUAAGAUAUCUGCUAUGCUUUUUGGUUGAUAUCUCUGUUUUGAAGUUAAUUCUAGUCACAUUUUGCAGGUCAUUGCUGACAAUGUUGGUGAUAAUGUCGGAGAUAUUGCUGGAAUGGGAUCUGAUCUUUUUGGUUCAUAUGCCGAAUCCUCUUGUGCUGCUCUUGUUAUCGUACUAACUUAUUUUGAUCUACCAUCCCAUAACAACUAUUUCUGCUUACUGAUUUCAGUUUUGGCAUUACUUUGGCAGCGUUGCAACUCUAAUAAGAUAAAGUUCAGUGCAGUUUUAGCAGCAGCCGGAUUAAUUGCUUGUCAUGCCUCAAAAAGGUUCCCUGAUGAACAGUGGGAGAAGUAUGCAGUUGUAACUCUCAUGGAUUGCCGGUCUGCUCUUGAUCCCGUGCUUAGCAGCCAUCAUAUCUAAUAAUAGUCAAUGUGAGGCCAGUGAUGUUUAUCGCGAGGCAUAUGAGGAGACACUCGUUUUUACUUUACCUUUAAUUCAUCUAAUGACAUUUUCCUGGUUUUCCACCAUGGAAAUAUUUAACUGUAGUUUCUCUCAUGUAAGUUUAAAUGAAUACAACUAUUGAAUAUAUAGUAUUAUUUGUA
RNA transcript from Salvia miltiorrhiza (redroot sage), 659 nucleotides. It is a transcript of the gene named pyrophosphate-energized vacuolar membrane proton pump-like, with no coding region annotated. The record is from RefSeq and is a predicted model, not a curated record. The transcript is spliced from 2 exons. NCBI's taxonomy places the organism in Eukaryota, Viridiplantae, Streptophyta, Magnoliopsida, Lamiales, Lamiaceae.